Molecule: ribosomal RNA, 492 nt
Filed under: uncultured bacterium
Lineage: Bacteria
Description: partial 16S ribosomal RNA
Rfam family: Bacterial small subunit ribosomal RNA
Source: RNAcentral
GAUGAACGCUAGCUACAGGCUUAACACAUGCAAGUCGAGGGGAAACGGCAUUGAGUGCUUGCACUCUUUGGACGUCGACCGGCGCACGGGUGAGUAACGCGUAUCCAACCUUCCCAUUACUGUGGGAUAACCUGCCGAAAGGCAGACUAAUACCGCAUAGUCUUCGAUGACGGCAUCAGAUUUGAAGUAAAGAUUUAUCGGUGAUGGAUGGGGAUGCGUCUGAUUAGCUUGUUGGCGGGGUAACGGCCCACCAAGGCGACGAUCAGUAGGGGUUCUGAGAGGAAGGUCCCCCACAUUGGAACUGAGACACGGUCCAAACUCCUACGGGAGGCAGCAGUGAGGAAUAUUGGUCAAUGGACGGAAGUCUGAACCAGCCAAGUAGCGUGCAGGAUGACGGCCCUAUGGGUUGUAAACUGCUUUUGUAUGGGGAUAAAGUUAGGGACGUGUCCCUAUUUGCAGGUACCAUACGAAUAAGGACCGGCUAAUUCCGUG